RNAcentral lists this ribosomal RNA (492 nucleotides) under uncultured bacterium. RNAcentral's name for it is "partial 16S ribosomal RNA". It matches the Rfam family "Bacterial small subunit ribosomal RNA", at positions 29 to 507 of the family's 1533-position model. The record is from RNAcentral.
AGUGAUCGCUGGCGGUAGGCCUAACACAUGCAAGUCGAACCGCAGCACAGUAAGAGCUUGCUCUUACGGGUGGCGCGUGGCGGACGGGUGAGGAAUACAUCGGAAUCUACUUUUUCGUGGGGGAUAACGUAGGUAAACUUACGCUACUACCGCAUACUCCCUACGGGUGAAAGCAGGGGAUCUUCGGACCUUGCGCGAUUGAAUGAGCCGAUGUCGGAUUAGCUAGUUGGCGGGGUAAAGGCCCACCAAGGCGACGAUCCGUAGCUGGUCUGAGAGGAUGAUCAGCCACACUGGAACUGAGACACGGUCCAGACUCCUACGGGAGGCAGCAGUGGGGAAUAUUGGACAAUGGGCGCAAGCCUGAUCCAGCCAUACCGCGUGGGUGAAGAAGGCCUUCGGGUUGUAAAGCCCUUUUGUUGGGAAAGAAAAGCAGCAGGUUAAUACACCGCUGUUCGGACGGUACCCAAAGAAUAAGCACCGGCUAACUUCGUG